AGACCCAUAUAUUCAAAACAAUUCGCUAGAUGGGAAUCGUACUGGUCCUGUAGGCGCUCCACGAUCAUUCAUUACUCCUCAUCCCGAACGAGCGUCAAGUCAUAGAAACUCGAUAGACUCUCGCGAAAAAUUUGCGAUUUUGCAAUACAUUAAGAAACUUUUUAUCGCCGUUAUGAUCAGCGGCCAUAGCGAUAUCAGGAUGACCGUGAAGUGCCGGGCAUAUGACUCGCACGAAAAAGAACGUGUUUAUUAGAAGAAAUAUCGAAGUUUCUAUGGCGGCUUGUGGCGUUUGCGUGUGAUCCCAGGUCACCGAAAUUCAUGCAGUCACCGCCGAUUGAAUCCUACAGGGGUUGGUGGACCAUUCCGUAUUUCUCCUGCAAGACCCGCCGUUGGCUCAUUUCAUAUAGCGUCAACGUGAAGCCGUUGGAUGUCCGACCCGGAGUACGGGAAUUCAUCAGCAUCGAUAUUGAUAUAAGUGGAUUAGAAGUAAAUCAGUGCGACACCUUGACGCAAAAUCACAAUGACGAAUUCGAAGCCGCCUCGAGCAAUCAAAUAGCCUUUUUUAAAGGCACCCACAAGUGUCACAUGGAUACUACGCAAUGCGUGUAUCAGGGGCCUGGCAGCCGAGUAAACCAAAAUGGGAUAGGUGCCGGUUGGACGAAAGGCGCGUAUGUGUGUAAGUGUAGGCAAGGCUUUUACAGCAUCAGACAUCAUCUGACAGGUUUCGAAGGAAUUCUUGUGGAAGCUGCAUGGAAGGAAAUGAGGGAAAACAAGAGUGAUUCCUAUGAGAAGGUAUUUCUAUGUCUGCGUUGCGCACCGGGAUGUGCGAGAUGUAAAGGCCCUGAGCCUUGCUUGGCGACGUAUAACUGGCCGUUUAGAAUUUCACUACUAGCCGUUUCAAUUUUCUGCGCGUUCGGUACCAUCGUCCUGGUGGCGUACAUGUAUCAACACCGUAAACUAAAGGUAUUCAAGGUAGCUUCCCCGAUAUUUCUAUCUAUUACGCUUCUGGGUUGCGCCUUGAUGUAUCUCGAGAUGGCUGCUAUAUUCCCAGUUCUCGAUAUGUAUUCAUGCAUUGCCACAAAGUGGACGAGGCAUAUGGGAUUCUGCAUCUCGUAUACGGCGUUGCUGAUGAAAACUUGGCGGGUUUCGCUUACGUAUCGGGUAAAAAGCGCCCACAAAGUUAAGCUGACGGACAAACAGUUGCUGCAAUGGAUGGUACCCAUUUUGCUGGUAAUGCUGAUCUAUCUCGGAACUUGGACUGUCAGCGCGCCGCCUUAUGCAGAGGUAAUCGCAGAUAACCACGACUUAAAGUUUUACCAGUGUUCGUACAACUGGUGGGAUCACAGCUUGGCUAUCGGUGAAAUUCUUUUUCUUGCUUGGGGCAUAAAGGUAUGUUACAACGUGCGAAACGCGGAGAGUCUGUUUAACGAAGCCCGUUUGAUAAGUUACGCCAUUUACAAUAUAGCCGCGGUGAAUAUAACCAUGAUAGCCAUUCAUCUCUUAAUAUUUCCUCGUGCCGGGCCGGACAUCAAAUACCUGUUAGGCUUUCUGCGGACUCAACUUUCGACGUCCGUUACGGUCUUCCUCGUAUUCGGCCCUAAAGUAAUCAGAGUAUUGCGAGGCCAGGGGGAUCAGUGGGACAGUCGAGCAAGGGCACGUGGCGUCACUGCAAGCUUUUCCUUGAACGGAAUCGGUUUAGUACCGGAGGAGACAACAGAUUUAUAUCAAGAAAAUGAAGAGCUUAAGGAGGAGAUUCAGAAAUUAGCCGCACGAAUAGAAUUCAUGAAAAUAGUGCACAUGGAGAUGCAUAACCGACAUAUUAAGCCAAAGUUAGGAGGUUAUUUCAGCGCACACGGUCAUGGUCAUGGGCAUCCAUCUACCGGGCAGAGUCCCAUCGCCAAGAGCUCGACAGCCAGCUUUAUUCUCAAAAUAAACUAUAUCGACGAUAUAACCACGACAUAACCCUCGCCAAAGUUUAUCAAUAAUUCACGGGAGAAAAACGAUCCAUGUCAUAGGAUUAAGCAAUGAAGCACCGAGAGACGGGAAAAUAAUAGACAAACUCAUCGCGCGGCGCGCCAAGCUACCAACAUUGGGCGCAUUCAGCGGACUCAACAGUUGAACGGCAGUGGAGCGAGGUGCAACGGCAGCCGCGGCUG
Molecule: unclassified non-coding RNA, 2156 nt
Filed under: Acromyrmex echinatior (Panamanian leafcutter ant)
Lineage: Eukaryota; Metazoa; Arthropoda; Insecta; Hymenoptera; Formicidae
Description: probable G-protein coupled receptor CG31760, transcript variant X4
Source: RNAcentral